MicroRNA precursor from Medicago truncatula (barrel medic), 91 nucleotides. It matches the Rfam family "MIR5298 microRNA precursor family". NCBI's taxonomy places the organism in Eukaryota, Viridiplantae, Streptophyta, Magnoliopsida, Fabales, Fabaceae. The record is from Rfam.
UUAGGUUUUCUUCAUUUUCUUUUGAAAUUUUUCUAGGAUUUUUGUUGUUGAAGCUUGACGGAGAUGAUAUGAAGAUGAAAAAGAGGAGAAG